UGGGGAAUAUUGGACAAUGGGCGCAAGCCUGAUCCAGCAAUGCCGCGUGUGUGAAGAAGGCCUGCGGGUUGUAAAGCACUUUCAGUGGGGAGGAAGGCCUUGGUGCGAAUAGCGCUGAGGAUUGACGUUACCCACAGAAGAAGCACCGGCUAACUCUGUGCCAGCAGCCGCGGUAAUACAGAGGGUGCAAGCGUUAAUCGGAAUUACUGGGCGUAAAGGGUGCGUAGGUGGUUGAUUAAGUCAGAUGUGAAAUCCCAAGGCUUAACCUUGGAAUGGCAUUUGAAACUGAUUAGCUAGAGUACAGAAGAGGGAAGUGGAAUUUCCGGUGUAGCGGUGAAAUGCGUAGAUAUCGGAAGGAACAUCAGUGGCGAAGGCGACUUCCUGGUCUGUUACUGACACUGAGGCACGAAAGCGUGGGGAGCGAACAGGAUUAGAUACCCUGGUAGUCCACGCCGUAAACGAUGAGAACUAGAUGUUAGGGGGCAUAGACCUUUUAGUAUCGCAGCAAACGCGUUAAGUUCUCCGCCUGGGGAGUACGGCCGCAAGGUUAA
Molecule: ribosomal RNA, 551 nt
Filed under: uncultured Gammaproteobacteria bacterium
Lineage: Bacteria; Pseudomonadati; Pseudomonadota; Gammaproteobacteria
Description: bacterial SSU rRNA
Rfam family: Bacterial small subunit ribosomal RNA
Source: RNAcentral